GUUUUAGAGUUAUGGCCAUUCUCAGGACGAGGAUCAGACUGAGCAGUGAGUCGUCCUCUAACAGGGCAGGAAAUCUGCUGCUGCUCUGAAUCAAAGUCAGAAGGUGACAGAGCGGCUGCUGCAUCAUUCAUGAGGCCUCUCGUGUCGUCUGUCAGAUUCCUCUGUCGUCAUGGUCAAUUCAUCACUGAGCAUGUGACACUUUCUCCUUUCACUGUGGUGAUCACUGAGAUCUGCUGUCAGCCUGUGUUCCUGUACCAUAUCCCUGAGCAUUAUUCACCCUUUACCUUUCCCUCUGGCCCAAAGAGCCUGUUCUGUGUUGUCACUGUUGAAUUUAGAGGCACCGUCCUCUGGCUCUUCAGCUGCUAAAUGCUCCAUCAUGUUCACCAGCUCAUCUCUGACUGUGUCUGUCUGCUGUUUGCUGCUGAGCAGGUAGUGGACACUGGCUUUUUACAGCUGCAGCUCUGGAAACAGCCGCUGAAACACUGAAGCCCACUCUGAUCACUGAUUUUCUUACACCAUGUUUGAUUGGAAACUUUGUCAUUGUCACACUCAUUUGGCAAACUGUUAUUUGCAGACCCUUCAUUGAUCUCCAGCAUUGACUUCAGGUCUGAGUCGUGAUGAUUUUCACCUUUAUCAAUAAGAAAACACCCAUUAGGUCCUUUAAAUAAAACGACUAUGCUAAAACUAUUCAGGUUUGCAUUCUGAAUUCACAGUCUCCUUGCUCUCCUUAAUUUCUUCGUAUUUCUGUGGUUUCAGGUCAGCAGGAGGUCAGCUGUCCUCCUCUGGCCCUCAUGACAACAGGCCCCCUUCCUCCUCCCAGUUCAGCAGCCGCCCCUCUUUUUCCAAAGUGGGCGGAGAACGAGACCGGGAGCGUGAGCACCGGGAACGGCUGGCUCAGUCGUCCAGGCUGUUCUGCCGACCCGAGCACAGAGACGACAUCUGGAACCAGCAGCGCCGCCGCUCGGCCGGUCUGGUCAUGCUCCCACACUUUGACUCAUAAAAGCCGUGAAGUCUUGGAGGUCUUGGAGUUGUGGGCUUUUUUAUGCAAACGGCAGCGUAACUCUCGGUGAUGACUGUGGGUGGUGCUUCAGGCUCAUCUCUGGUGAAACUGCUUCAUGUUGUGUUUCUGGUCGGUGGUGGAAGAUGCAUGAAGCAGCUACUACUACUACUAAUACUACUACUACCACCAUUACUACUACAUAUGUAGCUCUUGUGUUACUGUGAAAGCAUGCUUCAUAUGUAGCAAAAAAAAAAACAACUUCUGUUUGUUCUACUGCUGUGUACUUUUGUAGCAGAGCGAGGUCUGUGUUAAUGGUACUCGGAGGAGAGUUGCACUCAGCUCGGAGCUGUUGGAGUUCACCUGAGAGGGGUGUUGUGCACUGGACAAUCAGCAGGGUUCAUGCACAGGUUUGGAAGAGUCCGGAGCGUAGAUUUUUAUUACUUCUGUGUGUUUAAAAGUGUUUUGGGGAAACGUGUAGUAGCUCUGAAGUUUGACAUGUGGGUAAAAAUAUAACCAGGCAAGUAUUUUCUCUGGAAUCAAUGUUAGUUUGAUUAUAACGUUACUACCUUUCUUGCCGUGAGUCGGUAGAAAUACUUUUUUUUUGUUGUUGUUGUGUGAAACUGUUUCAACGGCCAAGUUUAAUAUCAUCUUGUUCUCCCAUAGGGAUUUUAUUUGCAGAAGUAAUCUCUAGUUUUGUGCCUUCACUGAGAAAACUCUGUAGUUUGUAUAACACUGUGCAAAAUGCAAUACUGUGAAGAACUGGAACUCUUUCCAUAUUGAAACCUGUCAGUCUGUGAUAACCAUGAAGAUUAAAGAGCAAACAUGACACCAACAACAUCGUCAUGUUUUUUUAUUCACUCAUUCAAAAUUCAGGAUUUUACUGUGGAGUCACA
This is a long non-coding RNA of Mastacembelus armatus (zig-zag eel), 1893 nucleotides long. NCBI's taxonomy places the organism in Eukaryota, Metazoa, Chordata, Actinopteri, Synbranchiformes, Mastacembelidae. The record is from Ensembl.